GAUGAACGCUGGCGGCGUGCCUAAUACAUGCAAGUCGAGCGAACAGACGAGGAGCUUGCUCCUCUGACGUUAGCGGCGGACGGGUGAGUAACACGUGGAUAACCUACCUAUAAGACUGGGAUAACUUCGGGAAACCGGAGCUAAUACCGGAUAAUAUAUUUAACCGCAUGGUUCAAUAGUGAAAGACGGUUUUGCUGUCACUUAUAGAUGGAUCCGGGCCGCUUUAGCUAGUUGGUAAGGUAACGGCUUACCAAGGCAACGAUCAGUAGCCGACCGGAGAGGGGGAUCGGCCACACUGGACCUGGGCCAGGGUCAAGACUCCUACGGGAGGCAGCAGUAGGGAAUCUUCCGCAAGGGGCGAAAGCCUGACGGAGCACCGCCGCGUGAGUGAUGAAGGUCUUCGGAUCGUAAAACUCUGUUAUUAGGGAAGAACAAAUGUGUAAGUAACUAUGCACGUCUUGACGGUACCUAAUCAGAAAGCCACGGCUAACUACGUG
Molecule: ribosomal RNA, 497 nt
Filed under: uncultured bacterium
Lineage: Bacteria
Description: partial 16S ribosomal RNA
Rfam family: Bacterial small subunit ribosomal RNA
Source: RNAcentral